RNAcentral lists this ribosomal RNA (252 nucleotides) under uncultured bacterium. RNAcentral describes it as "partial 16S ribosomal RNA". It matches the Rfam family "Bacterial small subunit ribosomal RNA", at positions 524 to 776 of the family's 1533-position model. The record is from RNAcentral.
UACGUAGGGGGCAAGCGUUGUCCGGAAUUAUUGGGCGUAAAGCGCGCGCAGGCGGCUCUUUAAGUCUGGUGUUUAAUCCCGAGGCUCAACUUCGGGUCGCACUGGAAACUGGGGAGCUUGAGUGCAGAAGAGGAGAGUGGAAUUCCACGUGUAGCGGUGAAAUGCGUAGAGAUGUGGAGGAACACCAGUGGCGAAGGCGGUCUGCUGGGCCGUUGCUGACGCUGAGGCGCGACAGCGUGGGGAGCAAACAGG